GUCGCCGCCGGGCACGACGGUCACUUGGAAGCGGGAGUGAAGAAGCUCAGUGAGACAUGGUUGCUGCUGGAAACACAGGAAUGAUACUCUACAAAAUAUACAGGGCGCUCACCUACGGUUUAACACCGUUAGUGCACCUUCACCUACUUUGGCGCCGUCGCCGAGGCCUCGAGCACCCGACACGUUGGCCUGAGAGGUUGGGCCGGUCCUCACUCCCUCGCCCGUCCGGUCCACUCAUCUGGUUUCACGCUGUCUCCUUAGGUGAAGGAAUGGCGGCGAUUCCUGUGAUUAAACGCUGCGUUCAUUGCAGGCCUGAUUUGAGCAUCUUGAUGACAACUACGACCUUCUCUGCAUUUGAAGUUAUAACGAAUCAGCUUCCAAGUGGUGUUUUAUAUCAGUUUUCGCCAGUUGAUACCCCUACUGCUGUGGACGCUUUCCUUGACCAUUGGAAGCCAAAUGCAAUCAUUUUAUUGGAGAGCGAACUGUGGCCAAAUCUUAUCAUGGGUUCAUCAAGAAAGCGUAUUUCACUGGCAUUGUUAAAUGCUCGAUUGUCUAUGAAAUCCUUUAGGUUGUGGUCACAACCAGUGCUUCUUCCGCUGAUUUCACUAAUGCUUUCUCAAUUUUCCCUGAUAGUCCCACUGAGUACUAUGCAGGCAAUUCGCUUCCAGGUUCUGCAGGCCCCGCCUUUUAUCAUUAACUUUUCUGGCGAUUUGAAAUAUGCUGUAGAAUUUGAUGCUUCUAGUGGAGAGAUAGGAAGCAUAGAAUAUCUGAAAGGACAGCUUGCCUCAAGACAUGUUUGGAUGGCUUCUUCCAUACAUAGGGGUGAAGAAAAAGUUAUGCUGGGAGUUCACAGAGCACUCAUACAAAUGUACCCAGAUCUAGUCACUAUAAUUGUACCUCGUUAUCCGCAAGAUGCACUAGAGAUUGCUCAGGAAUUGCAGAAAGAAGGGCUAAAUGUAGCUUUGAGGUCUCAACAUCGAAGGAUUAUGCCAGGAACACAAAUUUACAUGGUGGAUACAUUAGGUGAACUGAGAUGUUUGUACAGUUUAUCUGCAGUAGCUGUAAUUGGAGGUUCCUUUUUCCCUGGUUUAGCUGGCCAUAAUAUAUCAGAAGCUGCAGCAGCUGGCUGUGCAGUUUUAACUGGUCAUCAUGUUGGCCAUUUCUCACACAUGGUAAAGGAAAUGCAACGCUUAAAUCCCUUAUCAAUCACUCAGGUAUCUGGUACCUUAGAGCUUGAAGAAGCUAUUAAGGAGCUCCUUAAUGAUGCCAAACUACUAGACGCACGGCGAAUGGCUGCAAAACAAGCAUUUCAUGCUCUUUCCAGUGGCAUUAUUGCUAAUGUCUGGAACCUGCUAAAUUUUCAUGUUCUGGAAAUAUCUUCAUGAGAAAGUUAAUGAAGACUGGCAUACAGCAAAUCAAUUGUGAAAAUGAGAAUCCACAAGGCAGCAAUGCUUUUUCACCGAUGUCCAUUGGACAGUGCUAAUCUCCCACAUUCACUGUGCUGCAGAACUGCCAUCUCUGGAGCUUUAACCCUUGAGGAAGUAGCAUUGAAUCGUUCGAUGAGUGAGAGAACUUAGCUCACAUCUGCAAACAGAUUAUAUCUUUGAACAGAAACUGGGCACACGGUAUAAGCCAUAGGACCAUUUUGUUAUGAUUAUAAUCUAUAUGCUUGGUCUAGCAGCUGCCUGAAAAUUUGGGGGUUCAAGUAAUCUGCUCUAAUAACAAAAAUUUUAGCAGCUUCGCUACCAUGAUCACUCAGCGGCCAGAAGGAACAUCUGAGGACAGUUUCUUCUUUACUUCCUCCAGCUAACUUUCUAUCACACAGAGAUUCCCUUCAGCUUCACGGUGUUGCAGAUUAGACUGAGCCAUGAAGUAUCAAUGGGUCCUCUCAAAGAUUUGAGCAUUUUGCACACAUAGACAAUCGCUUAGGAGCUGAGAUAUUCUCUCGUUAUGUUUUCUUCAGAUAAAGAUUUUGCAGAUCACAGUCACUCACCCACAUUGUAUCACAACUUUCAUCUCUUUUAGCAAAUUUUAUUAGGAUGGAGGUGGUGAAGAUGAUUGAGGAAAUUAGGAUGGAGCAAUCGCCUCUAGGAGAGGACUAUGAUGAAUCUCGCAACACCCUGUCACCUUCUCUGGCCACCACCGAAGAUGUCACCUCGCUCGCAUAUACGCGUUUCUUUGUAAGAUUUUGUAAACUUGCAUCUCCCAUUGCAGGUGUGAAGAUGUGAUUAUUUCUUAUACCAGCCAUAAGAUAGAUCCCUUCUAGUCUUUCCUUUGUGUAUUAUAUAGUAUGGCAUUUGAAUCAGUUAUUCAGCUUAUUCAGAGAAAAAGUUGAUUGCAUUAUCAGCAACUUUAUUUUCA
RNA transcript from Manihot esculenta (cassava), 2361 nucleotides. It is a transcript of the gene named probable 3-deoxy-D-manno-octulosonic acid transferase, mitochondrial, with no coding region annotated. NCBI's taxonomy places the organism in Eukaryota, Viridiplantae, Streptophyta, Magnoliopsida, Malpighiales, Euphorbiaceae. The transcript is spliced from 14 exons. The record is from RefSeq and is a predicted model, not a curated record.